UUUGAUCCUGGCUCAAGACGAACGCUGGCGGCGUGCUUAACACAUGCAAGUCGAACGAUGAAGCCUAGCUUGCUAGGUGGAUUAGUGGCGAACGGGUGAGUAAUACGUGAGUCGACCUACCUUUGACUCUGGGAUAAGCCUGGGAAACUGGGUCUAAUACCGGAUACGACCAAUCUCCGCAUGGGGUGUUGGUGGAAAGCGUUAUGGAGUGGUUUUAGAUGGGCUCACGGCCUAUCAGCUUGUUGGUGAGGUAAUGGCUUACCAAGGCGACGACGGGUAGCCGGCCUGAGAGGGUGACCGGCCACACUGGGACUGAGACACGGCCCAGACUCCUACGGGAGGCAGCAGUGGGGAAUAUUGCACAAUGGGCGCAAGCCUGAUGCAGCGACGCCGCGUGAGGGAUGACGGCCUUCGGGUUUGUAAACCUCUGUUAGCAUCGAAGAAGCGAAAGUGACGGUAGGUGCAGAGAAAGCGCCGGCUAACUACGUGCCAGCAGCCGCGGUAAUACGUAGGGCGCGAGCGUUGUCCGGAAUUAUUGGGCGUAAAGAGCUUGUAGGCGGUUGGUCGCGUCUGCUGUGAAAGGCUGGGGCUUAACCCUGGUUUUGCAGUGGGUACGGGCUAACUAGAGUGCAGUAGGGGAGACUGGAAUUCCUGGUGUAGCGGUGGAAUGCGCAGAUAUCAGGAGGAACACCGAUGGCGAAGGCAGGUCUCUGGGCUGUAACUGACGCUGAGAAGCGAAAGCAUGGGGAGCGAACAGGAUUAGAUACCCUGGUAGUCCAUGCCGUAAACGUUGGGCACUAGGUGUGGGGGACAUUCCACGUUUUCCGCGCCGUAGCUAACGCAUUAAGUGCCCCGCCUGGGGAGUACGGCCGCAAGGCUAAAACUCAAAGAAAUUGACGGGGGCCCGCACAAGCGGCGGAGCAUGCGGAUUAAUUCGAUGCAACGCGAAGAACCUUACCAAGGCUUGACAUAUACUGGACUGCGUCAGAGAUGGCGUUUCCCUUCGGGGCUGGUAUACAGGUGGUGCAUGGUUGUCGUCAGCUCGUGUCGUGAGAUGUUGGGUUAAGUCCCGCAACGAGCGCAGCCCUCGUUCUAUGUUGCCAGCACGUGAUGGUGGGGACUCAUAGGAGACUGCCGGGGUCAACUCGGAGGAAGGUGGGGAUGACGUCAAAUCAUCAUGCCCCUUAUGUCUUGGGCUUCACGCAUGCUACAAUGGCCGGUACAGAGGGUUGCGAUACUGUGAGGUGGAGCUAAUCCCUAAAAGCCGGUCUCAGUUCGGAUUGGGGUCUGCAACUCGACCCCAUGAAGUCGGAGUCGCUAGUAAUCGCAGAUCAGCAACGCUGCGGUGAAUACGUUCCCGGGCCUUGUACACACCGCCCGUCA
RNAcentral lists this ribosomal RNA (1383 nucleotides) under uncultured bacterium. Its description in RNAcentral is "16S ribosomal RNA". It matches the Rfam family "Bacterial small subunit ribosomal RNA". The record is from RNAcentral.